UUGGGCGUAAGCGCGCGCAGGCGGUUUCUUAAGUCUGAUGUGAAAGCCCACGGCUCAACCGUGGAGGGUCAUUGGAAACUGGGGAACUUGAGUGCAGAAGAGAAAAGCGGAAUUCCACGUGUAGCGGUGAAAUGCGUAGAGAUGUGGAGGAACACCAGUGGCGAAGGCGGCUUUUUGGUCUGUAACUGACGCUGAGGCGCGAAAGCGUGGGGAGCAAACAGGAUUAGAUACCCUGGUAGUCCACGCCGUAAACGAUGAGUGCUAAGUGUUAGAGGGUUUCCGCCCUUUAGUGCUGCAGCUAACGCAUUAAGCACUCCGCCUGGGGAGUACGGUCGCAAGACUGAAACUCAGAGGAAUUGACGGGGG
RNAcentral lists this ribosomal RNA (366 nucleotides) under Bacillus sp. (in: firmicutes). RNAcentral describes it as "bacterial SSU rRNA". It matches the Rfam family "Bacterial small subunit ribosomal RNA", at positions 554 to 919 of the family's 1533-position model. Lineage: Bacteria; Bacillati; Bacillota; Bacilli; Caryophanales; Bacillaceae. The record is from RNAcentral.